CUUCCGUGAUGAUACGAUGACGAGUCAGAAAUGGCCACCCUCCUGCCCAGAGUCAACAACAUUGUGCCACGUUCUGUGGCUCUCUGUUUAGUUGCUCUGGUCAAUGGUGUCCUCUUCCUUGGAUGAUCCUGAGGCAUUUGUCUGAGAAGG
Small nucleolar RNA from Anolis carolinensis (green anole), 150 nucleotides. NCBI's taxonomy places the organism in Eukaryota, Metazoa, Chordata, Lepidosauria, Squamata, Anolidae. The record is from Ensembl.